This is a non-coding RNA of Paramuricea clavata, 758 nucleotides long. NCBI's taxonomy places the organism in Eukaryota, Metazoa, Cnidaria, Anthozoa, Malacalcyonacea, Plexauridae. The record is from the annotation of a GenBank genome assembly.
GUUCACUUGUGCAAAAAUACUAAUAUCAAAUAUUUACCUGUAAUAAUAACAGUGUUUUAAUAGGAAUAAAUUUAUAUGAAAAUCUCAACUAGAAAUGUCUUGCUCAUGUUCUACUUUAAAUUUCAACUUGAGAUUUUUUGAUCAUCUAUACAUGAUUAUCACAAGUUGCAUGGUAUCUUUGUUCUCGCCAGGAACCAGCUACAACAAACUUCUCAGGAUACAAAGUGUCCUCCACAAUCCUUGUCUUAAUUCUCAGGAUACAAUGUGUCUCCUCCACAAUCCUUGUCCUUCAGAAUCCUUGUCUCCAUCAUUUUCCUAAUCAGAGCUUGAAUCAUUCAUGUAUUUAGCAUCACCAGUAGCCUGUUACACACCCAACAAUUGGGUCAACUGCUGAAUUUCAUCAAUCUUGUCCAUGUCUGCAACUCCACCUUCUGCACCAAUACUUUCAACAUCACCAGGCAUCUCUUCACCAUGAAUUUUAACCAGACACAUAGGAUUUAAUGGCUGUUUAAUGCAAUUGCAUAACAAUGGCUCAUCUAAAUUCACCAGUGGUAGGUCAUUCAGUAUAUCCUCUAAAAUAUCCAGCUUGGAUGGUCAGAUUGUUACAGAAGUUGGUGAUGGAAUAAUGUUAAACUCCCACAACAGAACACAACAUAAGUACUACAGGUAAAAAAAGAUUUGAUGCAUUUAUACAGGGACGUUGGAACAAUAAAAAGGCAAGGGCACCUUUAUAGACCUACAAUUAUGUGUUGACUUGC